AGGAACGGCUCGUGGUGGCCGGGGAAGAUAAUGGGCCCCGAAGAGCUGGCAGAGUGUAAUCUCUCUUCUCCCCGAACAGGGACUCCGGUCAAGCUCCUUGGAAGAGAAGACGCUAGUGUGGACUGGUACAAUUUAGAAAAAUCUAAGCGUGUGAAGGCAUUUCGAUGUGGUGAGUUUGAUGAUUGCAUUGAAAGGGCUGAAUCAGCCCAGGGCAUGCCAAUAAAAAAAAGAGAAAAAUAUGCACGUCGAGAAGAUGCAAUUCUGCACUUGAGCUUGAAAAACAGCUGUUGAAAAAACAAGUAAAAUCAAGUGCAACUGCUGAUCACCAAAGAAGUAAAUUAUCUGGGC
This 348-nucleotide unclassified non-coding RNA is filed under the name Hevea brasiliensis (rubber tree). The record is from RNAcentral. Lineage: Eukaryota; Viridiplantae; Streptophyta; Magnoliopsida; Malpighiales; Euphorbiaceae.